CCCAACUAUCCCUAUUAAUCAUUACGUCAAUCCUAGAAACCAACAAAAUAGGAUCGAUCGUCCUAUUUCAUUAUUCCAUGCUAAUGUAUUCAAGCGUUAGCCUGCUUUAAACACUCUAAUUUUUUCAAAGUAACAGUCCAGAUUCCCCGCAACACCAAAUUAAUGGCAUUACGGUUCAUCAGGAAGGAGGAAUCAGUGAGACCAGUACAUACCAGUGGCACGACCAGCCUACUGACCCCGAAAUUCAACUA
RNAcentral lists this ribosomal RNA (251 nucleotides) under uncultured Glomus. RNAcentral's name for it is "partial 18S ribosomal RNA". Lineage: Eukaryota; Fungi; Glomeromycota; Glomeromycetes; Glomerales; Glomeraceae. The record is from RNAcentral.